This 1037-nucleotide ribosomal RNA is filed under the name uncultured bacterium. Its description in RNAcentral is "bacterial SSU rRNA". It matches the Rfam family "Bacterial small subunit ribosomal RNA", at positions 56 to 1104 of the family's 1533-position model. The record is from RNAcentral.
UGAGAGUUGAUAGCUGAAAGCUGUGUGCUGUUGGUUAACUUAGUGGCGCACGGGUGAGUAACACGUAGGUAACCUGCCCUUAAGAGGGGGACAACUCAGGGAAACUUGAGCUAAUACCCCAUAAGACCACAAACUGAGAUAUUAGUGGUAAAAGGAGCAAUCCACUUAAGGAUGGGCCUGCGGCCUAUCAGGUAGUUGGUGAGGUAACGGCCCACCAAGCCUAAGACGGGUAGCCGGUCUGAGAGGACGUACGGCCACACUGGAACUGAGACACGGUCCAGACUCCUACGGGAGGCAGCAGUGGGGAAUUUUGCACAAUGGGCGAAAGCCUGAUGCAGCGACGCCGCGUGGAGGAUGAAGGCCUUCGGGUUGUAAACUCCUUUUGUAGGGGAAAAUAAUGAUGGUACCCUAUGAAUAAGCCACGGCUAACUCUGUGCCAGCAGCCGCGGUAAGACAGAGGUGGCGAGCGUUGUUCGGAAUUACUGGGCUUAAAGGGCGCGUAGGCGGUGAGGUAAGUCUGAGGUGAAAUCCUAUGGCUUAACCAUAGAAUUGCCUUGGAAACUGUUUUACUUGAGUCAGCGAGGGGAUGGUGGAAUUCCCGGUGUAGCGGUGAAAUGCGUAGAUAUCAGGAGGAAGGCCGGUGGCGAAGGCGGCCAUCUGGCGCUGAACUGACGCUGAGGCGCGAAAGCGUGGGUAGCAAACAGGAUUAGAUACCCUGGUAGUCCACGCCCUAAACGGUGGGUAUUAGGCGUAGGGCUCGUAAGGGUUUCUGUGCCGUAGGGAAACCAUUAAAUACCCCGCCUGGGGAGUACGGCCGCAAGGUUGAAACUCAAGGAAUUGACGGGGGCCCGCACAAGCGGUGGAGCCAUGGGUGGUUUAAUUCGACGCUACGCGAAGAACCUUACCUGGCUGACAUGUUAGUGGUAGAAUCCGAAAAGGUGAUGACCCUGGGGUACUCAGGAGCUACACAGUGCUGCAUGCUGUCGUCAGCUCGGUCCGUGGGAGAAUGGUUGGGUAGUCCCGCACGAGCGCCACCU